GGCCCUGUGGCACAAUGGUAGCGCGUCUGACUCCAGAUCAGAAGGUUGUGUGUUCAAAUCACACCAGGGUCA
Molecule: transfer RNA, 72 nt
Organism: Anolis carolinensis (green anole)
Lineage: Eukaryota; Metazoa; Chordata; Lepidosauria; Squamata; Anolidae
Rfam family: tRNA
About the family: Transfer RNA (tRNA) molecules are approximately 80 nucleotides in length. Their secondary structure includes four short double-helical elements and three loops (D, anti-codon, and T loops). Further hydrogen bonds mediate the characteristic L-shaped molecular structure. tRNAs have two regions of fundamental functional importance: the anti-codon, which is responsible for specific mRNA codon recognition, and the 3' end, to which the tRNAs corresponding amino acid is attached (by aminoacyl-tRNA synthetases). tRNAs cope with the degeneracy of the genetic code in two manners: having more than one tRNA (with a specific anti-codon) for a particular amino acid; and 'wobble' base-pairing, i.e. permitting non-standard base-pairing at the 3rd anti-codon position.
Source: Rfam